This 1469-nucleotide ribosomal RNA is filed under the name metagenome. Its description in RNAcentral is "bacterial SSU rRNA". It matches the Rfam family "Bacterial small subunit ribosomal RNA". The record is from RNAcentral.
AGAGUUUGAUCCUGGCUCAGGACGAACGCUGGCGGCACGCUUAACACAUGCAAGUCGAACGAGAGAAGAGGAGCUUGCUUUUCUGAUCUAGUGGCGGACGGGUGAGUAACACGUGAGCAAUCUGCCUUUCAGAGGGGGAUACCGAUUGGAAACGAUCGUUAAUACCGCAUAACAUAAUUGAACCGCAUGAUUUGAUUAUCAAAGAUUUAUCGCUGAAAGAUGAGCUCGCGUCUGAUUAGCUAGUUGGUAAGGUAACGGCUUACCAAGGCGACGAUCAGUAGCCGGACUGAGAGGUUGAUCGGCCACAUUGGGACUGAGACACGGCCCAGACUCCUACGGGAGGCAGCAGUGGGGAAUAUUGCACAAUGGAGGAAACUCUGAUGCAGCGAUGCCGCGUGAGGGAAGAAGGUUUUAGGAUUGUAAACCUCUGUCUUCAGGGACGAAAAAAGACGGUACCUGAGGAGGAAGCUCCGGCUAACUACGUGCCAGCAGCCGCGGUAAUACGUAGGGAGCGAGCGUUGUCCGGAAUUACUGGGUGUAAAGGGAGCGUAGGCGGGAUCGCAAGUCAGAUGUGAAAACUAUGGGCUUAACCCAUAAACUGCAUUUGAAACUGUGGUUCUUGAGUGAAGUAGAGGUAAGCGGAAUUCCUAGUGUAGCGGUGAAAUGCGUAGAUAUUAGGAGGAACAUCAGUGGCGAAGGCGGCUUACUGGGCUUUAACUGACGCUGAGGCUCGAAAGCGUGGGGAGCAAACAGGAUUAGAUACCCUGGUAGUCCACGCCGUAAACGAUGAUUACUAGGUGUGGGGGGACUGACCCCUUCCGUGCCGCAGCAAACGCAAUAAGUAAUCCACCUGGGGAGUACGACCGCAAGGUUGAAACUCAAAGGAAUUGACGGGGGCCCGCACAAGCAGUGGAGUAUGUGGAUUAAUUCGAAGCAACGCGAAGAACCUUACCAGGUCUUGACAUCGUAUGCAUAGCUCAGAGAUGAGUGAAAUCUCUUCGGAGACAUAUAGACAGGUGGUGCAUGGUUGUCGUCAGCUCGUGUCGUGAGACGUUAGGUUAAGUCCCGCAACGAGCGCAACCCUUACUGUUAGUUGCUACGCAAGAGCACUCUAGCAGGACUGCCGUUGACAAAACGGAGGAAGGUGGGGAUGACGUCAAAUCAUCAUGCCCCUUAUGACCUGGGCCUCACACGUACUACAAUGGCUGUCAACAGAGGAAGAAAAGCCGCGAGGUGGAGCGAACCCCUAAAAGCAGUCUUAGUUCGGAUUGUAGGCUGCAACCCGCCUACAUGAAGUCGGAAUUGCUAGUAAUCGCAGAUCAGCAUGCUGCGGUGAAUACGUUCCCGGGCCUUGUACACACCGCCCGUCACGCCAUGGGAGUCGGUAACACCCGAAGCCUGUAGUCUAACCGCAAGGAGGACGCAGUCGAAGGUGGGAUUGAUGACUGGGGUGAAGUCGUAACAAGGUA